Molecule: long non-coding RNA, 1589 nt
Organism: Lotus japonicus
Lineage: Eukaryota; Viridiplantae; Streptophyta; Magnoliopsida; Fabales; Fabaceae
Exons: 5
Source: RefSeq, a predicted model, not a curated record
CCUCUCCCUCCCACAUUCUCCAAUUUUUUUUAGAAGAAAACCCUAAAGCUGUGCAAACCCUCUCCCUCUUACGCUCUAUCCCCCUCUCCAGACUUCAUCGUCCUGCCGACGAAGCUCUGAUCUAUUCCCGUCCCUCUCCAGACUCCAUGCGGCAGUGGAACGCAUGUUGACGGAGAGGCGAGAGAAGAACGGAACAGAAAUCGCCGCCCUCUUCCAGCAGCUGCUGAGAACAACUUCGACGGAGAACGGCGACUUUGUCGGAGUGGGGGACGAAGUUACAAGGUGCGCUGCGACUUCGAUGGAAGAGAAGGUCUGGGUGAGGAAGCAAAAGCGUCGAGAGGGACUGCGACCUUGGGUGAACAGAACAGCCAAGCAUCUUUUAACUGAGUUCUAUUGAAUUAGCCAAAGAGUUUUUGAAGUCACAAGGAGCAAGAGUUCUACUGAUAUUUCAAAGCCUGAAGCAGUUGUGUUAUCAGGCCCUGAUGCAAAGUAAGAUAGUAGUUAUGUUGGAGUAGAUUUAGGCAACCAAUUUCUUUUAGGGAAAGAUUAUUUUAGAAGUAAGAGUGUACCAUUUGAGCUGUACAAAAGGCGCACAUCUGUAUUUGUUCGCAGAGAAACUUUUCUAGACAUUAUCUGUGAUGCUCUGGCUGAGUACAAGUAUAUGGGUCCCAACCAGAGAGAAGACUUGGCUCUAGCCUGCAGGUACCACCAUUGUUUUAUAUCUUUAUGUGGACAAUAUUUAUCUACAGUAACCUAAAUAGAAGCAUGGAAAAGAAUAAGUCUCACUAUCGUUGCAUCAUAUGCUUGGAUCUAAUGGAAUCUAUUAAGUUAUAUGAUUAGAUAUGGUUUGCCUUGGUUUCCAUUUUCAUGAUCAAGGAGAGAUGGAACAGAUAAAGGAGAGAUUUGUUAAAUUGCUAUUGGGGGAGGAUAUGUCUGGUGGAGGAAAGGGUGUUUCAUCAACUCUGGCACUGUCAAAUGCAUUCCCAAACCUUGCUGCUGCUGUUUUUGGUGAACAAAAGCGCCUAGAGCCGAUGCUGCCCAAGAGGAAAGCCAGAUGGAGAAAGGAAAUCGAUUGGCUUCUAUCAGUGACAGAUUAUGUUGUUGUGAUGGUUCCUACUCAACAAAAAUCAAAAGAUGGAUCCAGCAUGGAGAUUUAUUUGAAGUUGUAGAUCGAAGAGCCAAACUGGUUGCCACUGACUUAGAGGACUAGUCUGAUUCUAAAUCUCCAGUACUUCUCUGAUUUUCAAUUUGCCUUCUACGAUGAGGAUCAACUGAAUGAAAUUAAAGAAGAGUGAGCUACUUAUGUGUUAAAGAAUUUUGCAUAGUGUGGACUGCUAUGCUUUGGUGAUUUCAAGUAGUGGGGGUGUUUGGGGAUGUUGUCAAGCUGCUAUUUUUUCGUCGAUAAAAGAGGCUGAUGAUGAGUCAAUCUCAUUGCUGUUUUUUGUUGUUCAAGCUGCAUGUUUUGUCAUUCUUAAUUCAUGCUUUUAACUUAUGUAGCUUGCUUGUUUAAUUUCUUGAGAGAGUAUGUUCUCAACAAUUAGUAUUGGUUUAUUAUUGUUAUGUUAUUUGAGUAAUUCUCUUGGCUUUAA